GUGAAACAUGCCAGUUCCUGCGGGAUAUGGAGCCCAAGGGCCCAGCUGCUUUGACAGGAUGAAGAUGGGAUUUGGAAUUGGAUUCUGCGUCGGCAUGGCAAGCGGAGCUAUUUUUGGAGGCUUUUCUGCACUGAGGUACGGGCUUCGUGGCCGGGAGCUGAUCAACAAUGUGGGCAAAGUGAUGCUCCAAGGUGGUGCGGUACCUUCGGCACGUUCAUGGCAAUAGGCACGGGAAUCCGGUGCUGAAGGAUCUCGUCUACCGUGUGUAUUUCACCAGAAUGAUUGCUGAGUCUGAUCAUUAUUUGGAGUCGUGUUAUGGAGUGCAAUGUACGCAAACGUCAAGUUGUGGAAUUUAUAGUAUAACCCCGUGUAAAAUAAAGGCUUUGGGAGAAAACACUGA
Long non-coding RNA from Pollicipes pollicipes, 400 nucleotides. RefSeq lists it as uncharacterized. The transcript is spliced from 2 exons. The record is from RefSeq and is a predicted model, not a curated record. NCBI's taxonomy places the organism in Eukaryota, Metazoa, Arthropoda, Thecostraca, Pollicipedomorpha, Pollicipedidae.